RNAcentral lists this small RNA (519 nucleotides) under Pongo abelii (Sumatran orangutan). Its description in RNAcentral is "retained intron". Lineage: Eukaryota; Metazoa; Chordata; Mammalia; Primates; Hominidae. The record is from RNAcentral.
UGGCGGGUGGCUUCUUUCUCCUCGGCUUCCUCUUCGGGAUCUAGCUAUCCAUUGUUUCUGGCCGCCUAUCUGGCAGAGAGGUGGGGGUGGUUUAUAAAAUCCUCCAAUGAAGCUACUAAGAUUACUCCAAAGCAUAAUAUGAAAGCAUUUUUGGAUGAACUGAAAGCUGAGAACAUCAAGAAGUUUUUAUAUAAUUUUACACAGAUACCACAUUUAGCAGGAACAGAACAAAACUUUCAGCUUGCAAAGCAAAUUCAAUCCCAGUGGAAAGAAUUUGGCCUGGAUUCUGUUGAGCUAGCUCAUUAUGAUGUCCUGUUGUCCUACCCAAAUAAGACUCAUCCCAACUACAUCUCAAUAAUUAAUGAAGAUGGAAAUGAGAUUUUCAACACAUCAUUAUUUGAACCACCUCCUCCAGGAUAUGAAAAUGUUUCGGAUAUUGUACCACCUUUCAGUGCUUUCUCUCCUCAAGGAAUGCCAGAGGUAAAAACACAGUGCAACAAAUAAAAAUGACAAAAAGAA